RNAcentral lists this ribosomal RNA (520 nucleotides) under uncultured bacterium. RNAcentral's name for it is "bacterial SSU rRNA". It matches the Rfam family "Bacterial small subunit ribosomal RNA", at positions 9 to 501 of the family's 1533-position model. The record is from RNAcentral.
GAGUUUGAUCAUGGCUCAGGAUGAACGCUGGCGGCGUGCUUAACACAUGCAAGUCGAGCGAAGCGCUUUACUUUGAUUUCUUCGGAUUGAAAAGUGUUGCGACUGAGCGGCGGACGGGUGAGUAACGCGUGGGCAACCUGCCUCAUACAGGGGGAUAACAGUUAGAAAUGACUGCUAAUACCGCAUAAGACCACAGUACCGCAUGGUAUAGUGGUAAAAACUCCGGUGGUAUGAGAUGGGCCCCGCGUCUGAUUAGGUAGUUGGUGGGUAACGGCCUACCAAGCCGACGAUCAGUAGCCGACCUGAGAGGGUGACCGGCCACAUUGGGACUGAGACACGGCCCAAACUCCUACGGGAGGCAGCAGUAGGGAAUCUUCACAAUGGGCGCAAGCCUGAUGGAGCAACACCGCGUGAGUGAAGAAGGGUUUUCGGCUCGUAAAGCUCUGUUGUUGGAGAAGAACGUGCGUGAGAGUAACUGUUCACGCAGUGACGGUAUCCAACCAGAAAAGUCACGGCUAAC